ACAUUCUUACAACAUAGAGUUAAUGCAUCAUAUUCCAUUAGAACUCUAUAGUUAAGCAUGCUUGAGAUAGAGUAGUACUGGGGUGGGUGACCGCCUGGGAAGUCCUAGUGUUUUGCAUGUC
Picea glauca (white spruce) is the source of this 121-nucleotide non-coding RNA. NCBI's taxonomy places the organism in Eukaryota, Viridiplantae, Streptophyta, Pinopsida, Pinales, Pinaceae. The record is from Rfam.